RNAcentral lists this ribosomal RNA (252 nucleotides) under uncultured bacterium. RNAcentral describes it as "partial 16S ribosomal RNA". It matches the Rfam family "Bacterial small subunit ribosomal RNA", at positions 524 to 776 of the family's 1533-position model. The record is from RNAcentral.
UACGGAGGAUGCGAGCGUUAUCCGGAUUUAUUGGGUUUAAAGGGUGCGUUGGCGGACUGUCAAGUCAGCGGUAAAAUUGAGAGGCUCAACCUCUUCCCGCCGUUGAAACUGGUGGUCUUGAGUGGAUGAGAAGUACGCGGAAUGCGUGGUGUAGCGGUGAAAUGCAUAGAUAUCACGCAGAACUCCGAUUGCGAAGGCAGCGUACCGGCAUCCAACUGACGCUGAGGCACGAAAGCGUGGGGAUCAAACAGG